This 253-nucleotide ribosomal RNA is filed under the name uncultured bacterium. RNAcentral describes it as "partial 16S ribosomal RNA". It matches the Rfam family "Bacterial small subunit ribosomal RNA", at positions 524 to 776 of the family's 1533-position model. The record is from RNAcentral.
GACGGAGGAUGCAAGCGUUAUCCGGAAUGAUUGGGCGUAAAGCGUCCGCAGGUGGCAGUUCAAGUCUGCUGUCAAAGACCGGGGCUUAACUUCGGAAAGGCAGUGGAAACUGAACAGCUAGAGUAUGGUAGGGGCAGAGGGAAUUCCUGGUGUAGCGGUGGAAUGCGUAGAGAUCAGGAAGAACACCCGUGGCGAAGGCGGCACUCUGGGCCUGUACUGACGCUGAGACGCGAAAGCGCGGGGAGCGAACGGG